GACGAACGCUGGCGGCGUGCUUAACACAUGCAAGUCGAACGGUGAAGGGACCGGUUUUUGCUGGUUCUGGAUGAGUGGCGAACGGGUGAGUAACACGUGAGUAACCUGCCCCCUUCUUCUGGAUAACCGCAUGAAAGUGUGGCUAAUACGGGAUAUUCUGCGCCUGCUGCAUGGUGGGUGUGGGAAAGAUAUUGUUUCGGUGGGGGAUGGGCUCGCGGCCUAUCAGCUUGUUGGUGGGGUGAUGGCCUACCAAGGCGGUGACGGGUAGCCGGCCUGAGAGGGUGGCCGGUCACACUGGGACUGAGACACGGCCCAGACUCCUACGGGAGGCAGCAGUGGGGAAUAUGGCACAAUGGGCGCAAGCCUGAUGCAGCGACGCCGCGUGAGGGAUGGAGGCCUUCGGGUUGUAAACCUCUUUCGCCAGUGAAGCAGGCCUGUCCCUUUUGUGGGUGGGUUGACGGUAGCUGGAUAAGAAGCGCCGGCUAACUACGUG
Molecule: ribosomal RNA, 493 nt
Filed under: uncultured bacterium
Lineage: Bacteria
Description: partial 16S ribosomal RNA
Rfam family: Bacterial small subunit ribosomal RNA
Source: RNAcentral